Molecule: small nuclear RNA, 103 nt
Filed under: Castor canadensis (American beaver)
Lineage: Eukaryota; Metazoa; Chordata; Mammalia; Rodentia; Castoridae
Source: RNAcentral
AGUCAAGUGUCACUUACUCACUUCAGCAAAUGGAAUGAUACAGAGCUUAGCAUGGUCCCUUUUCAAGGAUGACAUACAAAUUCAUGAAGUGUUCCAUAUUAAA